UACGGGAGGUGCGAGCGUUGUCCGGAAUCACUGGGCGUAAAGGGCGCGUAGGUGGUUUGAUAAGGGUGUGGUGAAAGCCCGGGGCUCAACCCCGGGUCUGCCGUGCCGACUGUCAAACUCGAGGGCUGUAGAGGCAGACGGAAUUCCGGGUGUAGCGGUGGAAUGCGUAGAGAUCCGGAGGAAGACCGGUGGCGAAGGCGGUCUGCUGGGCAGUAACUGACGCUGAGGAGCGAAAGCGUGGGGAGCGAACAGG
RNAcentral lists this ribosomal RNA (253 nucleotides) under uncultured bacterium. RNAcentral's name for it is "partial 16S ribosomal RNA". It matches the Rfam family "Bacterial small subunit ribosomal RNA", at positions 524 to 776 of the family's 1533-position model. The record is from RNAcentral.